AUUGAACGCUGGCGGCAUGCUUUACACAUGCAAGUCGAACGGUAACAGCACUUCGGUGGCUGACGAGUGGCGAACGGGUGAGUAAUACAUCGGAACGUGCCUAGUAGUGGGGGAUAACUACUCGAAAGAGUAGCUAAUACCGCAUGAGAUCUAAGGAUGAAAGCAGGGGACCUUCGGGCCUUGCGCUACUAGAGCGGCUGAUGGCAGAUUAGGUAGUUGGUGGGAUAAAAGCUUACCAAGCCGACGAUCUGUAGCUGGUCUGAGGGGACGAUCAGCCACACUGGGACUGAGACACGGCCCAGACUCCUACGGGAGGCAGCAGUGGGGAAUUUUGGACAAUGGGCGCAAGCCUGAUCCAGCAAUGCCGCGUGCAGGAUGAAGGUCUUCGGGUUGUAAACUGCUUUUGUACGGAACGAAAAGCUCUCUUCGAAUACAGGCGGGUCAUGACGGUACCGUAAGAAUAAGCACCGGCUAACUACGUG
RNAcentral lists this ribosomal RNA (482 nucleotides) under uncultured bacterium. Its description in RNAcentral is "partial 16S ribosomal RNA". It matches the Rfam family "Bacterial small subunit ribosomal RNA", at positions 30 to 507 of the family's 1533-position model. The record is from RNAcentral.